AGGGUUUGAUUAUGGCUCAGGACGAACGCUGGCGGCAUGCCUAACACAUGCAAGUCGAACGAGAAAGUUCCUUCGGGAGCAAUUAAAGUGGCGCACGGGUGAGUAACGCGUAGACAAUCUGCCCUUCAGUCUGGGACAACUUUUCGAAAGGAGAGCUAAUACCGGAUAACAAUGCAUGACACAAGUUGUAUAUUUGAAAGCUUUAUGUGCUGAAGGAGGGGUCUGCGUCCCAUUAGCUAGUUGGUAAGGUAAAGGCUUACCAAGGCAACGAUGGGUAGCGGGUUUGAGAGGACGAUCCGCCACACUGGAACUGAGACACGGUCCAGACUCCUACGGGAGGCAGCAGUGGGGAAUAUUGCACAAUGGAGGAAACUCUGAUGCAGCAAUGUCGCGUGAGUGAAGAAGGCCCUUGGGUCGUAAAGCUCUUUUAUGGGGGAAGAUGAUGACGGUACCCCAAGAAUAAGCACCGGCUAACUAUGUGCCAGCCGCCGCGGUAAUAC
RNAcentral lists this ribosomal RNA (500 nucleotides) under uncultured bacterium. RNAcentral's name for it is "bacterial SSU rRNA". It matches the Rfam family "Bacterial small subunit ribosomal RNA", at positions 8 to 526 of the family's 1533-position model. The record is from RNAcentral.